UGUUGCACUGGCUGUCCUGGAACUUGCUCUGUAGACCAAGCUGGUCUUGAAUUCAGAGAUCCAUCUACCUCUGUCUCUGUACUAGACUUAAAGGUGUGCACCAACACGAAAGAGACCUGGCCCCAGCAGCCUCUGCCUGGCUUAUCAUCUUCAUCUGGCCACAGAGAAUUGAACUUUGUAUUGCAGAGUCUUAUUGAUCUGUUUCCCCUGGUACCAUCUCCAGACAGAUGGACCCAAAGUUAAUCUUUGUUCAACAUCAGGGACCUCAUCGGAGCACCCACUAUUACCAGAGCUGGAGAGUAUUGCCAAGAGCACACUUCACACGUGAAGAGCAGUAGGUGUGAUCUUGGACUCACUUUGUUAUUUCAGUGACAAGCACGUUCUCACUCAAGGGUGUCCAGCGGUGUGCUGAUACUGCCUUUGAUAAAUCUUCACUAAACUUGAGUUAAAUCUUCACUAAACUUGGGUGGACAUCCUAGGACAACACUGGAAAAGGCGGGGAGCUAGGACGUGAGACAUCCUGCUUGGUCAUAAACAGCUAAGUCCAAGUGUAAAUUCUAAUAUUCUGUUCAAGGCCAUCUGUUGAUCCCAUAGUCUUGCAAAGGGCUCAUUCAUUUUCAGAACACAGAAAAUUCCACCUGUAAAACGGGAUUCAUUUGGAAGGAUGUGAUGUUGUUCAUCUCAAGUCUUUUUCAUUCACUGAAAGCUGGCAUGUGGGAAUUUUCUCCUCCUAAACUGGAAUUAUGAAGCCAUUAUGCUGAUGUGAAGCCUACAUCAGACUCCAUUUCUGCAAAACCCUGAUAAAAGUCCCACUGGCUGCAGCGCCACCUACUGCCAGAGCCUGGAAUAUGCCUGCUAUCCAGAAGCCCACCAGAAAUCCUAGCAAGACUGCGAGCUGCCUCCUUACCCAGCUGCCAAUCAUCAGGACCUCGGCAUUUUGCCAGCUGUCCUUUCACUUGAUGCAAGACACACAUAAGCCCUGGGACCACUGAGCAAAUCACAAGAUCCUGAGAAAUGGUGUGUCACCAGCUUCCUCCAAGUCCAGGGAGCUGCUCGCGUCAUGCUCAAACACCUGAUCAAUCAGUUCCUUCGGCAGCCCACCCUCGAGAAAUGAGUUGUACGUUUGCUUCCAACCUGAUCUUGUGUUGGGGAAUAACCUUUUUGUAUACUGUGAAGAUGUGCUUUUGCCAAGGUGCCUUCUGAUUGGUUUAAUAAAGAGCUGAAUGGCCAAUAACAAGGCAGGAAGAUGCAGAGAGAGAGAG
Long non-coding RNA from Mesocricetus auratus (golden hamster), 1262 nucleotides. RefSeq lists it as uncharacterized. The transcript has 4 exons. The record is from RefSeq and is a predicted model, not a curated record. NCBI's taxonomy places the organism in Eukaryota, Metazoa, Chordata, Mammalia, Rodentia, Cricetidae.